This 466-nucleotide ribosomal RNA is filed under the name uncultured bacterium. RNAcentral describes it as "partial 16S ribosomal RNA". It matches the Rfam family "Bacterial small subunit ribosomal RNA", at positions 28 to 523 of the family's 1533-position model. The record is from RNAcentral.
GAUGAACGCUGGCGGCGUGCCUAACACAUGCAAGUCGAGCGAACCCUUCGGGGUGAGCGGCGGACGGGUGAGUAACGCGUGGGUAACCUGCCCUAUACACACGGAUAACGUACCGAAAGGUACGCUAAUACGGGAUAAUAUUGUUGGAUGGCAUCUUCUAACAAUCAAAGCUCCGGCGGUAUAGGAUGGACCCGCGUCUGAUUAGCUAGUUGGUGAGGUAAUGGCUCACCAAGGCGACGAUCAGUAGCCGACCUGAGAGGGUGAUCGGCCACACUGGAACUGAGACACGGUCCCGACUCCUACGGGAGUCAGCAGUGGGGAAUAUUGCACAAUGGGCGAAAGCCUGAUGCAGCAACGCCGCGUGAGCGAUGAAGGUCUUCGGAUCGUAAAGCUCUGUCCUCAAGGAAGAUAAUGACGGUACUUGAGGAGGAAGCCCCGGCUAACUACGUGCCAGCCGCCGCCGUAA